Non-coding RNA from Ictidomys tridecemlineatus (thirteen-lined ground squirrel), 1004 nucleotides. Lineage: Eukaryota; Metazoa; Chordata; Mammalia; Rodentia; Sciuridae. The record is from RefSeq and is a predicted model, not a curated record.
CUGCUGGCAGAGUUAAGGCGGUUGGAAGUAGGGUGGGCCUACCGUGUCUGUAUGCCCCUUCCCAGAGCCUCCAGUACUACCCAACCUUCCCCAUAUGCCUUCCCUGCUCUUUUAAAGGUGGCCGUUGAGCCCAAGUCCUCAUGACCCAGAGAGGGGAGGCAUUUGCCCAAGUCCACCCAGGUAAUCUGCCAUCUCCACCAUCCCUCCCUUGGUCCACCACCAGGUCUCAGUCUCACCCAGUCUGUGAGCUGCAACACUUGUAGAAUGAGCUUCAGCCAGCUUGUGAGUGAGAAAUGCUCCCAGUGGUCCCUGGCCCAACACCCUUUGCUAAAAAAUGCAGAGCACUAAGAGGAACAAACUGGGCUGAUGAGUCUAACAGUUCUGGAGGAAGAACAGGAACUGAAGACAGCUGGGCGGGGCAGGGAUGCUUCUUGCCUGAGGCCAAGAACAAGCUAGAGUACUGUGGAUUGAACCCAAGGCUAGUUAAAUGCUCUUACCACUGAACUACAUCCCCAGCCAGAAGUCUGUGCUUGGAAGACCUCCCCUAUUGUGAUAUCCAAGAAAGUGAGGAUAAAGCCCACCAAAACAGGUGGCUCAUCUGGAUCCUUCAGGCCACUCAAGACAGCACUGAAUGGGAGCCAAUGAACUGUGGUUCCUGAGCCUGGCUUUGAAGAAGCUGACCAGAAAGGCUGUGACCUCAACCUUGAAUCAUGCUACCUCUUCCCUAGUCCCUCAUGGCUGCAGCUUCCCUGAGAAGAGACAGGGCUUUUUAUGCCUCUUAGACUUCUCUCCCUUCAUUCCCCACCCACCAUUACCACUCUUCCUCCUCCCUACACCUCCGCUCACCUGUGCACACAGGACUGCAGAACUGCAGAAAUGAGCAGCGUGUUCAGUUCAGGACUUCAGGCUUGAUGACCCACCCACAGAGUUUGUUUCCUCUGCUGGGAGGUGGGAUACCUUUUUCAUCUCCGAAGGCUGCAAGAAUAAAAUCAGCAAACAUGAAA